This 2725-nucleotide long non-coding RNA is filed under the name Cricetulus griseus (Chinese hamster). RNAcentral's name for it is "lncRNA (ENSCGRG00015034423.1)". The record is from RNAcentral. Lineage: Eukaryota; Metazoa; Chordata; Mammalia; Rodentia; Cricetidae.
AAACAGGAAGUAUCUCUCUUCCCCUCCGCUCCUGCUCCAGCGGCACAAUGUGAUCCACUGGCAAGGAGGGACGCCAAUAAGACAUCUGAUAGAUAAGUCUUAUAAAAUAUAUAGAUUUAUGAUAAUUAAGAUUGAGCUAGCAGAUGAGAAUCCUAGUCAUUGGCCAAGCAGCAUUGUACCUAAUACAAGUUUCUGUGUAUUAAUUUGGGCCUAACUCGGGCAGGUGGCUGGGUAAAGCUCACACAUGGCGGUGGGCCUCAGGCGGCUUUUGGCGGAAAGACUUAAUGUAACAUAAUUCUUUUAGUUUUAUUUAAAACAAAUACAUAGUUUAUAAAAUUUUUAUUGAAAUGCUGAGGAUAAUACCUAAGUCUUCAUGCAUGUUUUGACUAUUUAAUAAUACAGCAGUUAAUAUGACUUAGCAAAUACGAUUUAUGUUCUCCCCAAAAUUUGAACAUUCUGUAAUUUUUCCCCAAAUAUGUUUCAGAGAAAAAUUUGCAUAGAUAUAUUUGCUGGUUGGUAUGCAAAUUUUUAUUUCCACUUUGAAUUGGUCUAUGAUCUUUUCACUUUUGUCUACCAUUAGUAUUUUCCAUCUAUAUUCAAAGCCAUUGGAAUAUAACUAGAACACACCAUAAAGUCAAGAUCUGUUGCAAAUUAAAUUUCACUUAAUAUUGGUAAUAUCAGCAUAAAAAUAGGGGUGACUCAGGAAUUGGAGUUACUCCUUAACUCUUAGUGAAUAUGCUGUAUCUAUCUUUCUGGUUUAGUUUUCAAUUUUCUGAUCUACUAAUUUUAAUAAGUUUAUUCAUUUACAAGAGCUGCUGUAAGAAAUUACCAGAGCAUCGUGGAUUAAAACCAUUCCUGAGUCUGAAAGCCAGAAUCAGGAGUUGGCAGGAUUUGUUGCUUCUUGAUUUUCUGUCAGACAACCUAUUAUCUAACUUCUGGCAGCUGCAGGCCAUCUAGGGAAGCCUCCACCUCCAUCUUCAUCUGAUUUGCUCCACAUUUCUUGCUAAAAGCCACAAGAUCAUGCAACAAUAUACAGCUAUCAUAUUGUUAUGCCCAGUUUGUGGGACACCAAAAAGUCCACCACCAAAGAGACAAUUCAUCAAAUGGAAAAACAAAAGUUUCAUUUAUUGGCAAGCUACAGCCUGGAUUCUGCUGGCUCAGGAGCAAAUGGAAUACAGCUUACAGGUCUCUGGGCUAUUCAACCUGACAUUCCUGAUCAUCAAGGCAGUGUUGGACAUAGACUCUCUCAAGUGUCAAGGGCCUAAAAUUAGACCAGUCAUUGUUGGCAACUCCCACAUGUACUGCACUUUCAUUACCCCAGGACAUUUUUCAGGCAGUAUAAAUGGUUUGUCCUCCCCAUCUUCCUUUGUGUCUGAGAGUAUCCAAAAAGAUAUUAAAUUCUCCAUCAGUAAGAAAAUCCAAGCUGAGCUGUUUCUCUAAUAAUGUCUCUCAUCCUGAGGUCAAGAAAGCUUCUAAUCCAGUCAAGUGAUUUACAGAGGUCCAUCUUUUAAGGAAUAUUUGAGAUGUAAGAGAAGCUGUAUUCCAUAGCAGCUGUACCUCCUUACAUUCUCACUCCCAACCACCUAUCCAUGAGUCAGAAGCUUCUCCUUAAACUGGCCAACAAUCCCUCCUGUCUGCAUUUUAUUUUGAUUUUUUUUCUUUUAUUGUGAUCACAGUAUAUUGUAGCAUCUCACUGAGAUUUGGAUUUUCAUUACUCUAAUAAAUAAUUACAUCUUUUCAUGGACUUAUUUGCAGGCUUCUUUCUUCUUUAGUGAGAUGUUUUAUAUUAUCUGAGGAGAUUUUUACCCAUUUUUUAUAUAUCAUAAAACCACCUCUGAACAGAAUUCACAGUCUUUACAUAGGAUAUGAUAUUAUCAACAAAACUCAUAUACAGUUACACUUUUUGGUCAGAAUAUUUUAACAAAUGUGGUAUAGCAGUAAAUAAAUAAUGUGGCCCAUCCAAGCAUACAUUAAUCUCCCAGUCAUGCAGUGUCAAUGCUAAUUUUUUUUUCUGGAAGUUUGCCACCGUCUGUCCAAGUGAGAAUAUGUAUGCCCUUUAGCCUAGAAGUAUCAUUUCUUAAAUAGUCAGAGAUAUAUUUAAAGAACUAUAUAUUUAAGUGCAGAGCUAUGCCUCCAAAUAUUGAUGCAAAUGUUACAGAUGGAAAUUACAUAAAAAUAAAAAUUAUGGGAUUAAGUAAGGUAAUUAUGGUGUAAGAUCACAAGAAACACAAUGGAAUUAUUGGACAUCGUGUAUCAAAAUUGGAUUAAUUAACUUAGAAUUGAGGUUUCUAGUUGGUUUUCUUACACUAUUUGAUAGCACUUAGCAAAAUUACAAAUGUGGUUUAAUUCUUAAAAGUAAAAUUUAGAUGUAAAUCUAUUCAUUAUGUAAAUAUUUACAGUCAAUUCCUUGCCAGGAGCUGUGUCAGGCAAUAGCAACCCAGAAACAGAGGAUGAUCCCACACAAAAAGAACUGUAGAAAUAUGUCAAACCUGGUGGACAGAAAGGACAGUCAAAUUUUAAGAAAUAUGUGUUCACUUAGAAAGAUCAGCAACAGGCAAAUUACAGCAGAGUGGUUAAAUAUGUACAGAAGCAGCUGGAUCAGAAACUCAGAAGGGACAGACUUCAAACCCUAACUAUGUCAAAUGGGAUAAAUUGUGACCUCAAAUUACAAAACAGCCAUUUAAAUUUCUAUGUGAACCAAUAAACUAUUUUAACUAAGACAGCA